UGAGCCAAGUUUAGGGUUUUCUCAAAACCCAAGCAGUAUUGAACUGAAGAGUUUGAUCAUGGCUCAGAUUGAACGCUGGCGGCAGGCCUAACACAUGCAAGUCGAGCGGAUGAAGGGAGCUUGCUCCUGGAUUCAGCGGCGGAC
Molecule: ribosomal RNA, 144 nt
Filed under: Pseudomonas aeruginosa
Lineage: Bacteria; Pseudomonadati; Pseudomonadota; Gammaproteobacteria; Pseudomonadales; Pseudomonadaceae
Description: partial 16S ribosomal RNA
Rfam family: Bacterial small subunit ribosomal RNA (bases 41-144)
Source: RNAcentral